UUAAAAUCAAAACCAAAUCUGACACUAUAACAGUAUCUUUAUAUGGAGAUACUAUCCGUUCAUUCAUUUGAAUGGGAAGUCACAAACAUAAUAGACAUCCAAACAUUAUCUAUAAGAGGUUUCACUUACUUCAAGAAAGAAUUCAUUUUGGUAUCUUUGUUGGAAGAUCCUAACUUUUAAAUUAUAGUAGGUAAAGAUGGAAUAGCAAUAAUACACAAUAGUAAAAAUUAUAAGUCCCUCUAUUAGCAAAAAAUAGAUCUUGGAAUCUACUAUUCUUAAAGAGUUGGUUUAAAAUACAUUAAACUUCUCCAACAUAUUACACAAAUGAUGCAAAUAUGGUCUACUAUCAACACCACAGUGCAAAAUAUUUAUAAAGUAUACCUAAGCCCACUUUAAAGAAAGUCAUAAGAUAUUUAAAUAAUCC
RNAcentral lists this long non-coding RNA (424 nucleotides) under Physcomitrium patens. Its description in RNAcentral is "long non-coding RNA (PPAT_LNC014086)". The record is from RNAcentral. Lineage: Eukaryota; Viridiplantae; Streptophyta; Bryopsida; Funariales; Funariaceae.